Molecule: ribosomal RNA, 274 nt
Filed under: uncultured bacterium
Lineage: Bacteria
Description: partial 16S ribosomal RNA
Rfam family: Archaeal small subunit ribosomal RNA
Source: RNAcentral
AAACCAGCACCUCAAGUGGUCAGGAUGAUUAUUGGGCCUAAAGCAUCCGUAGCCGGCUCUGUAAGUUUUCGGUUAAAUCUGUACGCUUAACGUACAGGCUGCCGGAAAUACUGCAGAGCUAGGGAGUGGGAGAGGUAGACGGUACUCGGGAGGAAGUGGUAAAAUGCUUUGAUCUAUUGAUGACCACCAGUGGCGAAGGCGGCCUACCAGAACACGUUCGACGGUGAGGGAUGAAAGCUGGGGGAGCAAACCGGAUUAGAUACCCGAGUAGUCC